RNAcentral lists this ribosomal RNA (440 nucleotides) under uncultured bacterium. Its description in RNAcentral is "partial 16S ribosomal RNA". It matches the Rfam family "Bacterial small subunit ribosomal RNA", at positions 338 to 795 of the family's 1533-position model. The record is from RNAcentral.
CCUACGGGUGGCUGCAGUAGGGAAUAUUGCUCAAUGGGGGAAACCCUGAAGCAGCAACGUCGCGUGGGGGAUGACGGUCCUCGGAUUUUAAACCCUCUUUGUUAGAGAAGAUAAUGACGGUACCUAACGAAUAAGCACCGGCUCACUCCGAGCCAGCAGCCGCGGUAAUCAGGCGGGUGCCAGCGUUACUCGGAAUCACUGGGCGUAAAGCGCGCGUAGGGGGGAUAGCAAGUCAGGUGUUAAAUCCUCUGGGUUAACCAUAGGACUGCAGUUGAAACUGUUGUUCUAGAGUUUGCGAGAGGUAGGUGGAAUGCUUGGUGUAGGGGUAAAAUGCAUAGAGAUCACGCAGAACACUGAUUGCGAAGGCGGCCUGCUGGAGCAUAACUGACGCUGAAGCACGAAAGCGUGGGGAGCGAACAGGAUUAGAUACCCUUGUAGUC